Molecule: ribosomal RNA, 460 nt
Filed under: uncultured bacterium
Lineage: Bacteria
Description: partial 16S ribosomal RNA
Rfam family: Bacterial small subunit ribosomal RNA
Source: RNAcentral
CCUACGGGUGGCAGCAGUGAGGAAUAUUGGUCAAUGGCCGGAAGUCUGAACCAGCCAAGUCGCGUGAAGGAUGAAGGCGCAAAGGGUCGCAGACCUUUUUUAUCUGGGAAUAAAAGGCCGGACUCGUCCUGUUCUGUAGGUACCCUAUGAAAAAGCAUCGGCUAACUCCGUGCCAGCAGCCGCGGUAAUACGGAGGAUGCGAGCGUUAUCCGGAUUUAUUGGGUUUAAAGGGUGCGUAGGGGGAGUGUUAAGCCAGGGGUGAAAGUGUGGGGCUCAACCGUAGAAUUGCAGUUGAAACUGGCAGUCUUGAGUGCGGUGGAGGUGUGCGGAAUGCGUGGUGUAGCGGUGAAAUGCAUAGAUAUCGCGAAGAACCCCGAUUGCGAAGGCAGCGCGCUGUGCUGCAACUGACGCUGAGGCACGAAAGUGUGGGUAUCGAACAGGAUUAGAUACCCCUGUAGUC